GCAGUCAAGCCAAAAAGAAGCCAGGUGCACAUUUUAAUUAAAAACACAUUUUUCCAAUUACAGUUGAAACCGUGAACCUAAAAUAAAAAGCGAAGCAAAUGUCGUGAGUUCAAGCAAGCUAAUUACAGUAAAUCAAAUGGAAAGUUACAAAAGAUAGAAUCAAAGCUUAAGGCUAACUUUAUAUGUUUGCUUAACGCCAGGCUGCAGCACUAGGGGGGUCGAUGGAUUCAUUUUUCUUUUAGCAUUCAGGUCUGGGCUGCUUCCUAAAAUUGACUUAAAGUUGCAUUCAUUGGGAAAUCGGGGUCCUUAAAAUCCGGAUCUGAGAAGGCAGAAAAGGAAAUAGGAAAAAAUUGCAUGUUUUCUCUUAAGGCACCUGUCAGGUGUACAGAGGCUGACAGAAGGCUACAUGCUGACAGUGCUGUGUGCGUGCAGACCCACAAAGCUCCAGGAUGGAACUCAUUAAGUUUCCAUCCACUGAUAUUUUCAACAUUCAGCUCACCAUUGCUGGCUGUGGGUUCUGAACUGCCUCAGUUUCGGGCUUCAGGUUUAUCAUCCUUAGCAACAAGUCUACUUAUGUGUUCCCAAGAAAGCACGAGGCGCAGAGACUUAAAUUUUCACAUAAUCAGCCAUCUUCUCUGAGAUACACUGAAAGACUACGUUUCUCACGCUGCAUGUGGUGGAGAUUAUGAGCUUGUACUCAGAAGGGAGGCCUUCCGAUUCAGGCUUUUACUCUCUAGAGUCCCUGGGCCUUAUGUAUUUUGUAUUAGCUGCUAUAGAUUAAAAUUGUUCAUACAAUUUUCUCUGGGGGAUAGAAGGCGAUGGCUCUGCUUGAAAUAUGUGUUGCAUUUUUCUUUCUCUUGCAAUUUAUGUAAAGAGACCUGAUAGGAUUUGGAUUCGGCAAACAGACUUCAGACCAGAUGAACUGAACAGCGGCUGUAUCUCGUGCCCUUAAAGUUUGUGUGACUGCACAUCGCUUUGUUCCCAUUAUCUUGAAAAAUCUAACGAGCACACACUAUACUUGCAAACCACUCAUUCUUACAGAUAUGCCCUAGUUUUCCAUAUGUUGCUGCUUCAAGUGAUUCAGUUGGAAAUGGGUCUGUCAGGGGAACAGGUUUGAUAAGACAUAAUUCCUUAAUCCUGACAGGCAGGCAGGCCUAGCCCAACAGAUACAGUAAAUCAAUCAGUGUGUCUGAGAAGUACCUGCCUUCAGUAUCGACUGUGACCUCACCACCCCCAUGCUAUUCUCUCUCUCUCUCUCUCUCUCACACACACACACACACACACACACACACACACACACACACACACACACACACUUACUUUCUAGGACAUGCUCUAUAGUCUCUUUUCGCAUUCACGCUCUGUAAAUACUAAGCUUUGGUACAUUAUAGUCUAAAAUACAAAGUUGAAAAGACAGCGUAUUUGACCCACAAGAUGAAGUAUGGUAGGCAUCAUUACCAAGAGCCGCUUAGUGUCAACAGGAGGCUGGAGAUGGUUCACCUCAUACCAUCUUUUUACUGGGCCAUUAACCAGGCUCACAUAGUGCGUAAGAAUGAGCAGCCUUCAGUGCCAGAGGCUUUGAGAGACCAAGGUGUUUGGAUAUAUUUUAACCUGUAGAUUCAAGAUUCAAGCCUGCCUUCUGAAUCAUAUUCAAUUCAGGCCCCCAGGUAUGCAUGUGAUGGCUGGUAGGAACUGAAAGCUUUAUAGGGAAAUGGUGAUGAAUACUAAGUAGACCUGCCGUCCCCCCCCCCACACCCCCAC
Molecule: long non-coding RNA, 1761 nt
Organism: Oreochromis aureus
Lineage: Eukaryota; Metazoa; Chordata; Actinopteri; Cichliformes; Cichlidae
Source: Ensembl